This 6159-nucleotide long non-coding RNA is filed under the name Phoenix dactylifera (date palm). RNAcentral describes it as "long non-coding RNA (PDAC_LNC004714)". Lineage: Eukaryota; Viridiplantae; Streptophyta; Magnoliopsida; Arecales; Arecaceae. The record is from RNAcentral.
ACAGUUUAAUCAUUUUUUUCAUCUUAUAGAGAAAAUUAUACAGAACAAAUUUCACCAUGUUUGAUCUUUUCUUUUGGUACACCACAGCAUUAUCCUGUCACUUGUUUUUUCUUGACAAGCCCUUUGGGCUUUGGCUAUGUUUGCAGAAAGAAGGGAAAAGGUUUUUUUUUUUUCAAUUUGAAAUUGAAGAAGAAAAUUGUUUUUCUUUAUUGUAUUAGUGAUAUCGUCACAGAUGAUUUGGUCUAUAAUGUUUAUCUUGGGAUGCCUGGGAUUGUGGUGUUGGUGAUGGUACAAGUGCUGGAGAUGGAGGCAGCAGUGAUAGUGGUAGUGGUUAAUGUGAUUUUUGCUAUGAUGGGAUGUGCAGUCUUGAAUACCAUUCAAGGCUAAACUCAUCUCUUCUUUGGACAUCACAUUUGGCCUUUCCUCCAAUCAUCUAUGGUUCAUCACAGCAAAUAGAGUGACAUCAAAGUAUCAUUAUUGUGAUCUGCAAUUAGUAGAAACUUAUCGCAACUUCAUCUGAAAGAAGACUGCUGGACUUAUUUAGUGUUGCAGUUUAUCACUUGGAUCUUUGACCAGUCUCUUGUUGCCUAUGCUUAGCAAUGAUGUUGUCGCCUACCAUGAUUCUUAUAUCAACAUUAUGAAUUUUAGUUAAGUUCUUUAACAUAUGCAGCUCUUUUUUUUAAUAUUAAUUUUACCUGAUUCUCUUUUAAUUUGUUUGAAAAUUCAUGUUCCAUAUUUGCUAUUCCAUUUUUUCAAAUUUCAGCUAUAACCUUGUCUAAUGCUCAUUUCUAAAAUUUCCAGGCUAUACAUGGUGCGGAAAGGGGAGAAGCAGCUGCCCUGCUUCUUUCACCUGAGAGACCAUCAUCAGUGUUUGCUACUGAUCUAACGCUCAACGGAAGCCAGUUUACAUAUUUCCUAACUGCUCCACUUCAGGCAUUUUGCCAGUUAGUUGGCCUCUCUUCUGAAGUUGAAGCUGUAAGUUGACCUGAAUCUUCAGAUUUCCAUUGACAGGUUAACAAGUGCUUGAUCUGAUGUGUUCAUAGGCAUUUUCAGGAUGUUUAUAGAAAUGCAGAGGGCAUACUUUCCUCUGCUUUAGCUGAAUGGGAGGUAAUACUCUGCACAUGCAAUUCUCUGAAUCAGGUCUGGGCCCAGGUUUUACCUGAUCCAUUUCUACGGCGACUGAUUCUAAGGUACUUGCUUUUCUCAUUUUAUCCAUACAUGUACAAUUUGAUUCUUUGCAGUCUUUCCUUGUUCACAAUAUGAAAUAUCAAGAAUGUCAAAAUUUAUCCUUGAUAAUAGCAGACUGUCACUGCUGGGGUAAAAAAUAGAUGUCGCAUUACACUAGCACAAUUUGGAUCUGUUUAACAUUUGCUAUUGUAAAUGAUAUUUCUUAUUUGGUGAAAGAUACUUUUGGAGAAUAAAGGAUUUAUGAUGCCUGUGAUGAAUAUAUGAUGUCCUGUGUUCUACUUGAAAAUAAUUGAUGAUGGAUAUGAACAUUUUCUGACCUACUUUUACUCGUCCUUUUUCAAAGGUGGCAAGUACAUUCUCUUCCUUGCCAAGCUCGAUUGGGACGAAAUUGGGUUGUCUGAAUUGCUGUCUCAUUCAUUUGAGCAGUGAUGACAAUAGCCAUUUGUCUUUGUAUCAGUGGAGCUACGUUACAUGCCCUCACCAUUUUUGCAUCUUGGGAAAGUAUUUAAGUUAAUGUGAUCACAUUGUGCUAUAGGAGGCCAGCUUUGUGAACGGAACAUUACAAGGCUGUCAGUGGUAUGGUGUUCAUACACCAGAAACCUUAUUAUGAUUGAUUUAGCCUGUAUAUUUUACCUCUUUGUGAUUUUCCUUAUCAUUUAAUUCACAGUACUACAUUAUGUCAACACAUUAUUAUCUGCAACAGAAAAUUAAUACGCAUACUUAUGUUGGGAAAAUUAAGCAAUAUUUAGACCUUUCCUGUAUAUGAAACCAUGGGAAUUUUACUGCUGUUACUGAGAACUGCAAGGCAGAGAACACAAGUAAAGACAGCUCAUGGUUACUGCAUUGGAGGGUUUGUUGCUGGAAAAACAGGUUGGUUGUUUGUGUAGCAAAAGAUUUAAGGGACUUGAGGUGGGGGGAUAACAUUUCUUGAUUUUGUUAAAGAGUCUGUUCAUAUUUGCAUAUUGGCAACAACAUUUUAAUUCCUUUUAGCUUUUGCUCUUUUACUCCCUGUAUGUUUUACAUUGCGUUUUUUACUAAGGCUUGUAGGUUUCUUCCAUAUGAUGUUUUUGACCAGGUUUAUAUUCUGCUGGGCCGUGCUUCAUCUCUUCCGCCCUUUAGAGAAGAGUAGCCAGCAUCUUCCUGCUUGCCUACCUAGUCUACCUGAGUCCGUCUCUCCAAGCUCUGCAAAAACUCAAGUCCAUAUCCUCCAGCUUGCAGAGAACUUUGGGGUUGUCGAUCAUUUUCACUUUUCAGAUUCCAUCAGGGACUCGGUGCCGAACAGAUAAUUACUGCCAUAGUGUAUAAGCUUCUGUAGAUAAAAUCAUGGUACAUAGAAUCCAAUCAUUUGUUGAUUAUUUUGUGUCCAUACACCAGAUCAUCAGCUCUGUUGGUGGACCGCGGCUCAAGCGGGAAACCACCAAGAAAAAAACUGACAAUGUAUGUGACUGCAACUCAGACUAGAUGCCUUAGUUCAUAGAUUGUCAGAGCGCUGCACCCUUGUGGUGGACAUGGAUAAAUUUAUCAUUGCUGUCAAUUUGCGGUGGCAUGUACGAGUCCAUUAUUGGUAGCAGAGAAACAGUGAAUAGGGCCAAAUUGUUUUCAUAUGCUUGUAAGCAGGCCUAUGUCCAUUUAGAGGUGGAUUUCCAAUUUUACCGGUGAAUUCAUGUGGCUAUGGAAGAAUGUCCGUAUACUGGAACAUGCUUUGAUUGCUGAUCAUGCAUCUAAGUCAUGCUUUGUUGUUAUUGGCUGUAACUUAGAAUGCAUAACUUCCAUUGCAUAUUAUCUCUUAUAGGCUCUAGGAAACCCUCCUAACAGUGAGAGCAGACUACAAGCUAAUGGUGAUUUUUGUGAUUCAAUUUGUGUUACUUGUGAUGGGAUGAAAUUUAAACAAGAGGAAUAUGUAUGUAAAGAUCUGUGUUUAGUCUUAUGUGGGCUAUGCACUGAUAGAUCUUAGGUACUUAUAUGGAGUUAAGAAAUCUAAAUAAUAUAUUUUGUCUUAUCUAUUUUGUUGCUGUUUUCAUGGGUUGAGCAUAACAAGCUUAUGUGAAAAAAUCUUAGCUUUUGGCAUGCAUUCUGCUAGUUGUUGCUCGGUUCCAUCUAUUACUGUAUUACAUAAGAGGCAACCAGCAAAUGGGACAUGAGAGAAUAAUAGAGGAGAACAAAUUUAAAACAUAAUUUUGUUUUUGAUGAGACAAUUAUAGAUAUGUGGGUCAGGAUUUGAAAUAUGGAAAUUUGUUGAAGAGGGGAGGAAUUCCCUUCAAUAUGAACCCUUGUAUCCUUAUUAUCAAAAACUAGUAUACAUGCACAUGCGUAUUUAGUAAGCCUGGAAAAAUAAUGAUCUAAUAAUAGUAAUAGGAUUUGAUUGAGCUUUUUUUUUUUGAGUAAAUAAAGGAGGGAGAUAGAUUAGAGAACUGCAAAUUAGAGGACAAUAAUGAGAAAAUAAAAUAAAUGAAAAUAUAAAGUUUGAAAUUUAAAAUAGGAAAACAGAGUUAAUUAAAUAAAACAUAGAAUUAAAUAUAUAAAUUAAAAAUUGAGAACAAACAAUAACAUGAAUAUAAAUUCGAACAUAAGAAAUAAAAAUUAAAAUAUUAAAAUAUUUUGUUAAAAAGGAAUAGUUAUCUUUAAAUGUAAGAAAGAUUUUUUUUUGUUGAAAAAACAUGUCACUUCCAAUUCCACUAAUAAAUUUCCUUCUCUUUCUUUUUAUUUCUAGCGAAUUUUCUUUUUUAAUCAUAUUAGACAGCAUAAUUGGUGAAUCCAUAAGAUAUAAUUGAUCCUUACCAAUGGUGUUCCUUUUGCAUUAGGUCGGAAGUUGAAAAUAUUAAUUGUUAGAAACCAUGGUCUUGUUGCUUCUUUACCUAGGAGUGUUUUACCACAAUGUGGUACAAUUUGAUAUGGAUCAACAAGACCACACAAUCAAUAUUAAGUAUUGCGAGUCUUUACACUAGCUAAAACACAAAAUUGACCAUACAAUCAAUUUGAUAUGGUUUUGUUGCUUCUCAAAUCUCGAGUGCUCCUCUAAAAGAGCCCACGGCCAUAACCAAAGGCAGUAGCAGGAGGAGGAAGCGCCAUGCUCCCCUCCAAUCCACGACCAAAGCCUAGGGUGACACCAGAAGGAGGAGGAGGAGCAGAACUACUCGCCGCUGUGAUGCUGGAGCUCCGAUCAUGCGCGGCCACGAUGACGAGCUGGUCGGCGGGCCUCGCCACGUCCCUCCUCAGCCUCCCCAAGGACUGAUGCAGCCUCUCGAGCUCCCCCAGGCCGAGCUCCUCGAUGUUCGCGCCCCACAAGGUGGCCUCCCCCGUCCGCUUCACCCUCACGGCCUCCUCGAGCGCCGCCUUCUUCCUCCUCUCGGUCUCCAGCAAGGCCGCGAGUUCUGUGUACUGGCGGUUGAGCUCGCGGACGACCAUCAUCUCCCGCGCCGCCGGGAUGCGGCGGUCGGCAAACGGCAGAGUUGGAGGGGAGGGGCUGUCGGAGAGGAAGCGGUCGAUGAUGGAGCUGACCGAGGGGUGGCCAAAGGAGAAGGGCUUGCCGGCGGGGGAGAAGACGAUGAUCCCGAUCUCGGCGCCGCACAGGAUGGAGAGCUCGUUGGCCUUCUUGAAGAGCCCGGCGCGGCGCUUCGAGAAGCACACCUGGCGGGCCUCCUCUCUCUCGAUCCUCUUCAUCUCGAUCUUCUGACGUCCCAUGCUCGGCUUCCUCCUCAUCACCAUAUUAUAUUUAUAUUUACGUUUUCGUAAGAGGGAGGGAACAAGGAAGAGAAGAGAGAAGGGAACAAGGAAGAGAAGAGAGAAGGGAGGCGGAGGGGGAGGGAGAGAUUGGUGCAGCUUAUAUAGACGACGGGUUGUCCUUAAUUUGUUCGACCUUUCCAUGCGUGGUAACUCUAGGUGAUUUGGGGAAAGAAACAUGCUGAUUGACAUCAAAUUGCGGACUUUCCUAAAUUGACACCAUAUGUAUACCAUACAAGGUAAGCCAUUGAUUUAGUUUUCAUCAUUAAUUGAUUUACUCUCCCCUUCCAUCACCAUUAAGCUUCCAGAACCAACCAUCCUUAUUCAGUUGCAAUCAAUCUCUCUAGACAAUUCAAAAGAGUUAGGAAAAACUAUGUGCCCUGCAAUCCACAUGUAGUACCUCUUUUCCUUGUUUUUGAUUUUCAAUCCAUUAUGGAAUGCUAGUCGUUUUAACAGUUUAAUCAUUUUUUUCAUCUUAUAGAGAAAAUUAUACAGAACAAAUUUCACCAUGUUUGAUCUUUUCUUUUGGUACACCACAGCGUUAUCCUGUCACUUGUUUUUUCUUGACAAGCCCUUUGGGCUUUGGCUAUGUUUGCAGAAAGAAGGGAAAAGGUUUUUCUUUUUCAAUUUGAAAUUGAAGAAGAAAAUUGUUUUUCUUUAUUGUAUUAGUGAUAUCGUCACAGAUGAUUUGGUCUAUAAUGUUUAUCUUGGGAUGCCUGGGAUUGUGGUGUUGGUGAUGGUACAAGUGCUGGAGGUGGAGGCAGCAGUGAUAGUGGUAGUGGUUAAUGUGAUUUUUGCUAUGAUGGGAUGUGCAGUCUUGAAUACCAUUCAAGGCUAAACUCAUCUCUUCUUUUGACAUCACAUUUGGCUUUUCCUCCAAUCAUCUAUGGUUCAUUACAGCAAAUAGAGUGACGUCAAAGUAUCAUAAUUGUGAUCUGCAAUUAGUGGAAACUUAUCGUAACUUCAUCUGAAAGAAGACUGCUGGACUUAUUUAGUGUUGCAGUUUAUCACUUGGAUCUUUGACCGGUCUCUUGUUGCCUGUGUUUAGCAAUGAUGUUGUCGCCUAUCAUGAUUCUUAUAUGAACAUUAUGAAUUUUAGUUAAGUUCUUUAACAUAUGCAGCCCUUUUUUUAAUAUUAGUUUUACCUAAUUCUCUUUUAAUUUGUUUGAAAAUUUAUGUUCCAUAUUUGCUAUUCCAUUUUUUCAAAUUUCAGCUAUAGCCUUGUCUGAUGCUCGUUUCUAAAAUUUCCAG